This 253-nucleotide ribosomal RNA is filed under the name uncultured bacterium. RNAcentral's name for it is "partial 16S ribosomal RNA". It matches the Rfam family "Bacterial small subunit ribosomal RNA", at positions 524 to 776 of the family's 1533-position model. The record is from RNAcentral.
UACGUAGGGUGCAAGCAUUAAUCGGAUUUAUUGGGCGUAAAGGGCGCGUAGGCGGGAGAAUAAGUCAGAUGUGAAAUCCCGGGGCUCAACCCCGGAACAGCAUUUGAAACUAUUUUUCUAGAGGGUAGGCGGAGAAAACGGAAUUCCACAAGUAGCGGUGAAAUGCGUAGAGAUGCGGAGGAACACCGAUGGCGAAGGCAGCCCCCUGGGCUGACACUGACGCUCAGGCACGAAAGCGUGGGGAGCAAACAGG